Molecule: ribosomal RNA, 253 nt
Filed under: uncultured bacterium
Lineage: Bacteria
Description: partial 16S ribosomal RNA
Rfam family: Bacterial small subunit ribosomal RNA
Source: RNAcentral
UACGGAGGGUGCAAACGUUGCUCGGAAUCAUUGGGCGUAAAGCGCACGUAGGCGGCCUGAUAAGUCGGGUGUGAAAGCCCUGGGCUCAACCCAGGAAGUGCACUCGAAACUGUCAGGCUUGAAUAUGGAAGAGGGUCGCGGAAUUCUCGGUGUAGCGGUGAAAUGCGUAGAUAUCGAGAGGAACACCUGCGGCGAAGGCGGGUUGCUGGGCCGACACUGACGCUGAGGCGCGAAAGCCAGGGGAGCGAACGGG